This 72-nucleotide transfer RNA is filed under the name Camelus bactrianus (Bactrian camel). It matches the Rfam family "tRNA". Rfam says of the family: Transfer RNA (tRNA) molecules are approximately 80 nucleotides in length. Their secondary structure includes four short double-helical elements and three loops (D, anti-codon, and T loops). The record is from Rfam by way of RNAcentral. Lineage: Eukaryota; Metazoa; Chordata; Mammalia; Artiodactyla; Camelidae. RNAcentral also lists the same sequence under 2 other names.
GAGGGUAUAGCUCAGUGGUAGAGCACAUGCUUAGCAUGCACAAGGUCCUGGGUUCAAUCCCCACUACCUCCA